RNAcentral lists this unclassified non-coding RNA (173 nucleotides) under uncultured Penicillium. Its description in RNAcentral is "sequence contains ITS1". Lineage: Eukaryota; Fungi; Ascomycota; Eurotiomycetes; Eurotiales; Aspergillaceae. The record is from RNAcentral.
CCGAGUGAGGGCCCUCCGGGUCCAACCUCCCACCCGUGUUUAACGAACCUUGUUGCUUCGGCGGGCCCGCCUCACGGCCGCCGGGGGGCACCCUGCCCCCGGGCCCGCGCCCGCCGAAGACACCUGUGAACGCUGUCUGAAGUUGCAGUCUGAGACACUAGCUCAAUCAGUUA